UGAGGAAUAUUGGGCAAUGCCCGCAAGGGUGACCCAGCAACGCCGCGUGGAGGAUGAAUGUCGUAAGAUUGUAAACUCCUGCUAGAGGGGAAGAAUAGUACCGGUUGGACCGGUAUAUGACUGUACCCUCAGAGAAAGCCCCGGCUAACUACGUGCCAGCAGCCGCGGUAAUACGUAGGGGGCAAGCGUUGUCCGGAUUUACUGGGUGUAAAGGGCGCGCAGGCGGUUAAUUAAGUCAGAUGUGAAAGGCUACGGCUCAACCGUAGAGUUGCAUUUGAAACUGGUUGAGUUGAGUGCAGGAGAGGUGAGUGGAAUUCCCGGUGUAGCGGUGGAAUGCGUAGAGAUCGGGAGGAACACCAGUGGCGAAGGCGGCUCAUUGGCCUGCAACUGACGCUGAGGCGCGAAAGCGUGGGGAGCGAACA
Molecule: ribosomal RNA, 422 nt
Filed under: uncultured bacterium
Lineage: Bacteria
Description: bacterial SSU rRNA
Rfam family: Bacterial small subunit ribosomal RNA
Source: RNAcentral